This 887-nucleotide ribosomal RNA is filed under the name Staphylococcus aureus. RNAcentral describes it as "partial 23S ribosomal RNA". It matches the Rfam family "Bacterial large subunit ribosomal RNA", at positions 875 to 1762 of the family's 2925-position model. Lineage: Bacteria; Bacillati; Bacillota; Bacilli; Caryophanales; Staphylococcaceae. The record is from RNAcentral.
GCUAGCCUCAAGUGAUGAUUAUUGGAGGUAGAGCACUGUUUGGACGAGGGGCCCCUCUCGGGUUACCGAAUUCAGACAAACUCCGAAUGCCAAUUAAUUUAACUUGGGAGUCAGAACAUGGGUGAUAAGGUCCAUGUUCGAAAGGGAAACAGCCCAGACCACCAGCUAAGGUCCCAAAAUAUAUGUUAAGUGGAAAAGGAUGUGGCGUUGCCCAGACAACUAGGAUGUUGGCUUAGAAGCAGCCAUCAUUUAAAGAGUGCGUAAUAGCUCACUAGUCGAGUGACACUGCGCCGAAAAUGUACCGGGGCUAAACAUAUUACCGAAGCUGUGGAUUGUCCUUUGGACAAUGGUAGGAGAGCGUUCUAAGGGCGUUGAAGCAUGAUCGUAAGGACAUGUGGAGCGCUUAGAAGUGAGAAUGCCGGUGUGAGUAGCGAAAGAUGGGUGAGAAUCCCGUCCACCGAUUGACUAAGGUUUCCAGAGGAAGGCUCGUCCGCUCUGGGUUAGUCGGGUCCUAAGCUGAGGCCGACAGGCGUAGGCGAUGGAUAACAGGUUGAUAUUCCUGUACCACCUAUAAUCGUUUUAAUCGAUGGGGGGACGCAGUAGGAUAGGCGAAGCGUGCGAUUGGAUUGCACGUCUAAGCAGUAAGGCUGAGUAUUAGGCAAAUCCGGUACUCGUUAAGGCUGAGCUGUGAUGGGGAGAAGACAUUGUGUCUUCGAGUCGUUGAUUUCACACUGCCGAGAAAAGCCUCUAGAUAGAAAAUAGGUGCCCGUACCGCAAACCGACACAGGUAGUCAAGAUGAGAAUUCUAAGGUGAGCGAGCGAACUCUCGUUAAGGAACUCGGCAAAAUGACCCCGUAACUUCGGGAGAAGGGGUGCUCUUUAGGGUU